This 73-nucleotide transfer RNA is filed under the name Verrucomicrobiales bacterium. RNAcentral describes it as "tRNA-Lys". It matches the Rfam family "tRNA". Rfam says of the family: Transfer RNA (tRNA) molecules are approximately 80 nucleotides in length. Their secondary structure includes four short double-helical elements and three loops (D, anti-codon, and T loops). Further hydrogen bonds mediate the characteristic L-shaped molecular structure. tRNAs have two regions of fundamental functional importance: the anti-codon, which is responsible for specific mRNA codon recognition, and the 3' end, to which the tRNAs corresponding amino acid is attached (by aminoacyl-tRNA synthetases). tRNAs cope with the degeneracy of the genetic code in two manners: having more than one tRNA (with a specific anti-codon) for a particular amino acid; and 'wobble' base-pairing, i.e. permitting non-standard base-pairing at the 3rd anti-codon position. The record is from RNAcentral. Lineage: Bacteria; Pseudomonadati; Verrucomicrobiota; Verrucomicrobiia; Verrucomicrobiales.
GCCUCGGUAGCUCAGUUGGUAGAGCAGUUGACUCUUAAUCAAUUGGUCCCAGGUUCGAAUCCUGGCCGGGGCA